UACGAAGGGGGCUAGCGUUGCUCGGAAUCACUGGGCGUAAAGGGUGCGUAGGCGGCCCUUUAAGUCAGGGGUGAAAUCCUGGAGCUCAACUCCAGAACUGCCUUUGAUACUGAAGAUCUUGAGUUCGGGAGAGGUGAGUGGAACUGCGGGUGUAGAGGUGAAAUUCGUAGAUAUUAGGAAGAACACCAGUGGCGAAGGCGGCUCACUGGUCCGGUACUGACGCUGAGGCGCGAAGGCGUGGGGAGCGAACGGG
This 253-nucleotide ribosomal RNA is filed under the name uncultured bacterium. Its description in RNAcentral is "partial 16S ribosomal RNA". It matches the Rfam family "Bacterial small subunit ribosomal RNA", at positions 524 to 776 of the family's 1533-position model. The record is from RNAcentral.